This 497-nucleotide ribosomal RNA is filed under the name uncultured bacterium. RNAcentral describes it as "partial 16S ribosomal RNA". It matches the Rfam family "Bacterial small subunit ribosomal RNA", at positions 29 to 507 of the family's 1533-position model. The record is from RNAcentral.
AAUGAACGCUGGCGGCGUGCCUAAUACAUGCAAGUCGAACGACCAGACGAGGAGCUUUCUCCCCUGACGUUGGCGGGGGACGGGUGAGUGACACGUACAUCGCCAUCUUCUUUUACGGGGGUAACAACGGAAAAACGGAGACACUACCGGCGAAUAUAAUCUACGGCAGAGAUCAAUGGAGCAUCACGCCUUGCCUGUUUCAAAUAGCCGAAUCCGGACCGCAUUAGCUAGUUGGUAAGGUAACGGCUAACCAAGGCAACGAUGCGUAGCUGACCUGAGAGGAUGAUCAGCCACACUGGAACUGAGACACGGUCCAGACUCCUACGGGAGGCAGCAGUGGGGAAUCUUCCGCAAUGGGCGAAAGCCUGACGGAGCAACGCCGCGUGAGUGAUGAAGGUCUUCGGAUCGUAAAACUCUGUUAUUAGGAAAGAACAGAUGUGGAUGUAAAUAUGGACGUUUUGACGGUACCUAAUGAAAAAGCCCCGGCUAACUACGUG